ACUCUCAGCAACGGAUAUCUUGGCUCUUGCAACGAUGAAGAACGCAGCGAAAUGCGAUACGUAGUGUGAAUUGCAGAAUUCCGCGAAUCAUCGAGUUUUUGAACGCAAGUUGCGCCCGAGGCUUGUCCGAGGGCAUUUCCGCUAGAGCGU
Molecule: ribosomal RNA, 150 nt
Filed under: Bryum argenteum
Lineage: Eukaryota; Viridiplantae; Streptophyta; Bryopsida; Bryales; Bryaceae
Description: 5.8S ribosomal RNA
Rfam family: 5.8S ribosomal RNA
About the family: 5.8S ribosomal RNA (5.8S rRNA) is a component of the large subunit of the eukaryotic ribosome. It is transcribed by RNA polymerase I as part of the 45S precursor that also contains 18S and 28S rRNA.
Source: RNAcentral